Molecule: long non-coding RNA, 227 nt
Filed under: Lathyrus oleraceus (garden pea)
Lineage: Eukaryota; Viridiplantae; Streptophyta; Magnoliopsida; Fabales; Fabaceae
Description: Pisum sativum (pea) long non-coding RNA (PSAT_LNC031326)
Source: RNAcentral
AAAAUCCACCAGUGCACAAUUUCUGGAAAAAUCAUCAAAAAAUAAUAGAGAUCAUGAUGAACAUUGUGAAAAAAACCUCAUGUCAUUUGGAUUAAUAUUGAUUGAGAUAUGAAUUUUUGAAUGGAAGAAAAAAAUAAAAAAUGCACAUGGAAGCAUACGAGGAAUAGCAUGGUUAAAAGUGAAAAAUGCAAAAGCAAAAAAAGAAAAUGCCGGAGGCCAGGAUCGAG